Molecule: ribosomal RNA, 497 nt
Filed under: uncultured bacterium
Lineage: Bacteria
Description: partial 16S ribosomal RNA
Rfam family: Bacterial small subunit ribosomal RNA
Source: RNAcentral
GAUGAACGCUGGCGGCGUGCCUAAUACAUGCAAGUCGAGCGAACGGACGAGAAGCUUGCUUCUCUGAUGUUAGCGGCGGACGGGUGAGUAACACGUGGAUAACCUACCUAUAAGACUGGGAUAAUUUCGGGAAACCGGAGCUAAUACCGGAUAAUAUUUUGAACCGCAUGGUUCAAAAGUGAAAGACGGUCUUGCUGUCACUUAUAGAUGGAUCCGCGCUGCAUUAGCUAGUUGGUAAGGUAACGGCUUACCAAGGCAACGAUGCAUAGCCGACCUGAGAGGGUGAUCAGCCACACUGGAACUGAGACACGGUCCAGACUCCUACGGGAGGCAGCAGUAGGGAAUCUUGCGCAAUGGGCGAAAGCCUGACGGAGCAACGCCGCGUGAGUGAUGAAGGUCUUCGGAUCGUAAAACUCUGUUAGUAGGGAAGAACAGAUGUGUGAGUAACUGUGCACAUCUUGACGGUACCUAAUGAGAAAGCCACGGCUAACUACGUG